Molecule: microRNA precursor, 104 nt
Organism: Laticauda laticaudata (blue-ringed sea krait)
Lineage: Eukaryota; Metazoa; Chordata; Lepidosauria; Squamata; Elapidae
Gene: MIR221
Product: microRNA 221
Source: Ensembl
GAUGAUCCAGCUUUUGGGCCUUCACCUGGCAUACAAUGUAGAAUACUGUGUUUGUUAAGCAACAGCUACAUUGUCUGCUGGGUUUCAGGCUGUCUGGAAGUACA